AGCACCACAACGGGUGGAGCUUGCGGUUUAAUUGGAUUCAACGCCGGAAAUCUUACCGGGACCGACAGCAAUAUGAAGGCCAGGCUGAAGACUUUGCCGGAUUAGCUGAGAGGUGGUGCAUGGCCGUCGUCAGUUCGUACUGUGAAGCAUCCUGUUAAGUCAGGCAACGAGCGAGACCCACGCCCACAGUUGCCAGCGUACUCUCUGGAGUGACGGGUACACUGUGGGGACCGCCGCUGCUAAAGCGGAGGAAGGAAUGGGCAACGGUAGGUCAGUAUGCCCCGAAUAUCCCGGGCUACACGCGAGCUACAAUGGUUGGUACGAUGGGUAUCUACCCCGAAAGGGGACGGGAAUCUCCUAAAACCAAUCUUAGUUCGGAUUGAGGGCUGCAACUCGCCCUCAUGAAGCUGGAAUCCGUAGUAAUCGCGUUUCAACAGAACGCGGUGAAUACGUCCCUGCUCCUU
RNAcentral lists this ribosomal RNA (464 nucleotides) under uncultured Methanosaeta sp. RNAcentral's name for it is "bacterial SSU rRNA". It matches the Rfam family "Archaeal small subunit ribosomal RNA", at positions 875 to 1338 of the family's 1478-position model. The record is from RNAcentral. Lineage: Archaea; Methanobacteriati; Methanobacteriota; Methanomicrobia; Methanotrichales; Methanotrichaceae.